Molecule: ribosomal RNA, 1467 nt
Filed under: metagenome
Description: bacterial LSU rRNA
Rfam family: Bacterial large subunit ribosomal RNA
Source: RNAcentral
GUUCAGCAGGGGUUGGUUCCCUGUUUAAGCAUGUAGGAGGAGUUGCCAGGCAAAUCCGGCAGCUCUUAACUCCGAGGUGUGAUGACGAGGCUCCACGCGAGCCGAAGUGAAUAACGCCCCGCUUCCAGGAAAAGCCUCUAAGCUUCAGAUCACAUUGGACCGUACCGUAAACCGACACUGGUGGGUGAGCAGAUAAUCUGCCAAGGCGCUUGAGAGAACUCGGGUUAAGGAACUCUGCAAAUUGAUACCGUAACUUCGGAAGAAGGUAUGCCUUCGACGGUGUAGGGAUUUACUCCCGAAGCUGUUGAAGGUCGCAGGUAAUCGGUGGCUGCGACUUUUAUCAAAAACACAGGACUCUGCGAACACGCAAGUGGAAGUAUAGGGUCUGACGCCUGCCCGGUGCCGGAAGGUUAAUUGAUGGGGUUAGCCGCAAGGCGAAGCUCUUGAUCGAAGCCCCGGUAAACGGCGGCCGUAACGAUAACGGUCCUAAGGUAGCGAAAUUCCUUGUCGGGUAAGUUCCGACCUGCACGAAUGGCGUAACGCUGGCCACACUGUCUCGACCCGAGACUCAGUGAAGUUGAAAUCGCUGUGAAGAUGCGGCGUUCCCGCGGCAAGACGGAAAGACCCCGUGAACCUUCACUACAGCUUUACACUGAACUUUGAACCUUUCUGUGUAGGAUAGGUGGGAGGCUAUGAAACUUGGGCGCUAGCUCGAGUGGAGCCAACCUUGAAAUACCACCCUGGGAUGUUUGAAGUUCUAACCUUGGUCCGUAAUCCGGAUUGGGGACAGUGUAUGGUGGGUAGUUUGACUGGGGCGGUCUCCUCCCAAAGAGUAACGGAGGAGUGCAAUGGUACGCUCAGCGCGGUCGGUCAUCGCGCUCUAGAGUGCAAAGGCAUAAGCGUGCUUAACUGUGAGACAGACACGUCGAACAGGUACGAAAGUAGGUCUUAGUGAUCCGGUGGUUCUGUAUGGAAGGGCCAUCGCUCAACGGAUAAAAGGUACUCCGGGGGUAACAGGCUUAUUCCUCCCAAGAGUCCACAUCGACGGAGGAGUUUGGCACCUCGAUGUCGGCUCAUCACAUCCUGGGGCUGUAGCAGGUCCCAAGGGUAUGGCUGUUCGCCAUUUAAAGUGGUACGCGAGCUGGGUUCAGAACGUCGUGAGACAGUUCGGUCCCUAUCUGCCGUGGGCGUUGGAAACUUGAGGGUGAGCUGUCCUUAGUACGAGAGGACCGGGAUGGACGUAUCUCUGGUGUUCCGGUUGUCACGCCAGUGGCACUGCCGGGUAGCUAUAUACGGACGGGAUAAGCGCUGAAAGCAUCUAAGCGCGAAGCCCCCCCCAAGAUUAGGUUUCCCUGGGAACUCGAUUCCCCUAAAGGGCCGUCGGAGACUACGACGUUGAUAGGCUGGGUGUGUAAGUGCAGCAAUGCAUUGAGCUAACCAGUACUAAUUGCCCGUGAGGCUUGACCG